UAGGGAAUCUUCGGCAAUGGGGGGAACACUGACCGAGCAACGCCGCGUGAGUGAAGAAGGUUUUCGGAUCGUAAAGCUCUGUUGUUAAGGAAGAACGAGUGUGAGAAUGGAAAGUUCAUACUGUGACGGUACUUAACCAGAAAGGGACGGCUAACUACGUGCCAGCAGCCGCGGUAAUACGUAGGUCCCGAGCGUUGUCCGGAUUUAUUGGGCGUAAAGCGAGCGCAGGCGGUUAGAUAAGUCUGAAGUUAAAGGCAGUGGCUCAACCAUUGUAGGCUUUGGAAACUGUUUAACUUGAGUGCAGAAGGGGAGAGUGGAAUUCCAUGUGUAGCGGUGAAAUGCGUAGAUAUAUGGAGGAACACCGGUGGCGAAAGCGGCUCUCUGGUCUGUAACUGACGCUGAGGCUCGAAAGCGUGGGGAGCGAACAGG
This 429-nucleotide ribosomal RNA is filed under the name Bacteroidota bacterium. RNAcentral describes it as "Bacteroidetes bacterium partial 16S ribosomal RNA". It matches the Rfam family "Bacterial small subunit ribosomal RNA", at positions 355 to 776 of the family's 1533-position model. The record is from RNAcentral. Lineage: Bacteria; Pseudomonadati; Bacteroidota.